GUGGGGAAUCUUAGACAAUGGGCGCAAGCCUGAUCUAGCCAUGCCGCGUGAGCGAUGAAGGCCUUAGGGUUGUAAAGCUCUUUCGUGGGGGAAGAUAAUGACUGUACCCCAAGAAGAAGCCCCGGCUAACUCCGUGCCAGCAGCCGCGGUAAUACGGAGGGGGCUAGCGUUGUUCGGAAUUACUGGGCGUAAAGCGCACGUAGGCGGACUGGAAAGUCAGGGGUGAAAUCCCGGGGCUCAAACCCGGAACUGCCUUUGAAACUCCCAGUCUUGAGUUCGAGAGAGGUGAGUGGAAUUCCGAGUGUAGAGGUGAAAUUCGUAGAUAUUCGGAGGAACACCAGUGGCGAAGGCGGCUCACUGGCUCGAUACUGACGCUGAGGUGCGAAAGCGUGGGGAGCAAACAGGAUUAGAUACCCGAGUAGUCC
Molecule: ribosomal RNA, 425 nt
Filed under: uncultured bacterium
Lineage: Bacteria
Description: partial 16S ribosomal RNA
Rfam family: Bacterial small subunit ribosomal RNA
Source: RNAcentral